This 329-nucleotide ribosomal RNA is filed under the name uncultured eukaryote. Its description in RNAcentral is "partial 18S ribosomal RNA". It matches the Rfam family "Eukaryotic small subunit ribosomal RNA", at positions 1470 to 1796 of the family's 1831-position model. The record is from RNAcentral.
CCCUUAGAUGUUCUGGGCCGCACGCGCGCUACACUGAUGCAUUCAACGAGUCUAAAACCUGCUCUGAUAGGGGUGGGUAAUCUUUUGAAUGUGCAUCGUGAUUGGGAUAGAUGAUUGCAAUUUUUCAUCUUCAACGAGGAAUGCCUAGUAAACGCAAGUCGUCAGCUUGCAUUGAUUACGUCCCUGCCCUUUGUACACACCGCCCGUCGCUCCUACCGAUUGAAUGAUCCGAUGAAUAUCAUGGAUUGAGGAUUAUAGCAGGUUCGCCUGUCUUGAUCUUCGAGAAGUGAAGUAAAUCUUAUCAUUUAGAGGAAGGAGAAGUCGUAACA